RNAcentral lists this ribosomal RNA (84 nucleotides) under Adelphocoris lineolatus. RNAcentral describes it as "partial 28S ribosomal RNA". It matches the Rfam family "Eukaryotic large subunit ribosomal RNA", at positions 1 to 84 of the family's 3401-position model. Lineage: Eukaryota; Metazoa; Arthropoda; Insecta; Hemiptera; Miridae. RNAcentral also lists the same sequence under 1 other name. The record is from RNAcentral.
CGACCUCAGAUCAGGUGGGACUCCCCGCUGAAUUUAAGCAUAUUAGUAAGCGGAGGAAAAGAAACUAACCAGGAUUCCCUUAGU